CUUGGUCAUUUAGAGGAAGUAAAAGUCGUAACAAGGUCUCCGUAGGUGAACCUGCGGAGGGAUCAUUAAGGAAUGGUCUUUUGACCUUCAACCCUUCAAACCUGUGGAAGCUAGAUGUGCUUCGGCGCCCCUGGGGCGCCGCUUUUAUGCCGGAAUCAGUUUGUGUCUGAAUCUGAAAUUAGAAUCAAAACUUUCAACAAAGGAUCUCUUGGCUCUCGCAUCGAUGAAGAACGCAGCGAAGCGCGAAAUGUAGUGUGAAUCGCAGAACAUUGUGAAUCAUCGAAUCUUUGAACGCACAUUGCGCCUCUCUUUACUGGGAGGCAUGCCUGUCUGAGCUUCAUUUAAACCAAUAAACCCCCUUUGGGUUUGUGUUGGGCCUCGCCGUUGGGCGUCGCCUCAAAGCCAUCUGUCUUGUGAGCGGACGAGAUCCAUUAGGACUGACCGUUCUUGGGACCAUAAAUCUCUGACUUGAACUCAGAUCAGGUAGGACUACCGCCUGAACUUAAGCAUAUCAAUAAGCGGAGGA
This 526-nucleotide ribosomal RNA is filed under the name uncultured fungus. Its description in RNAcentral is "eukaryotic LSU rRNA". The stretch from base 189 to 340 matches the Rfam family "5.8S ribosomal RNA". The record is from RNAcentral. Lineage: Eukaryota; Fungi.